ACUGCGAGCGUGACGGCGCGAGCAGGUGCGAAAGCAGGUCAUAGUGAUCCGGUGGUUCUGAAUGGAAGGGCCAUCGCUCAACGGAUAAAAGGUACUCCGGGGAUAACAGGCUGAUACCGCCAAA
Molecule: ribosomal RNA, 124 nt
Filed under: Salmonella enterica subsp. enterica serovar Dublin
Lineage: Bacteria; Pseudomonadati; Pseudomonadota; Gammaproteobacteria; Enterobacterales; Enterobacteriaceae
Description: partial 23S ribosomal RNA
Rfam family: Bacterial large subunit ribosomal RNA
Source: RNAcentral